AAUAUAAAUAGCUGCAGAUUUUUCUGUACUAAGGUAGCAUAAUCAUUAGCUUUAUAAUUAAAAGAUAGCAUGAAAGGUUAAACGAAAUAUUUUCUGUCUCUAAUAUUUACAACAAAAUUUAAAUAAAAGUAAAAAUUCUUUUAAAAUUAAGAAGGACGACAAGACCCUGAUAAACUUACACAUUUAGCUGGGGCGGCAAUACAAAAAAACCUUUAAAUAAAUUAAUAUAAAUAUAUCUAAUAAAAAUAAAACAAAAACUAGUUACUACAGGGAUAACAGCGCAAUCUUUUUCAAAAGAACUUAUAUAAAAAAAGCUUUACGACCUCGAUGUUGAAUUAAUUUUAUCUUUUAGGAGCAAAAUCCCUAAUAAGAAGGUC
This 377-nucleotide ribosomal RNA is filed under the name Ixchela viquezi. RNAcentral describes it as "partial 16S ribosomal RNA". The record is from RNAcentral. Lineage: Eukaryota; Metazoa; Arthropoda; Arachnida; Araneae; Pholcidae.